UCUUCAUUUUAAGGUCUAUUUUGUCUGAUAUGAGUACUGCUACUCCAGGUUUCUUUUGAUUCCCGUUUGCAUGAAAUAUGUUCUUCCAUCCUCUCACUUUCAGUUUGUAUGUGUCCUUAGAAGUGAAGUGGGUCUCUUGAAGAUAGCAUAUAUAUGGGUCUUGUUUUUGUAUCCAUUCAGCGAGUCUAUGUCUUUUGGUUGGAGCAUUUAAUCCAUUAACAUUUAAGGUAAUUAUUGAUAUGUAUGUUCUUAUUGACAUUUUAUUAAUUGCUUUGGAUUUGUUUUUGUUGCUCUUUUUUCUUCCCUUCUUCUCUUGUUCUCUCCUCUUGUAGUGUGAUGACUAUCUUUAGUGUUGUAUUUGAGUUGAGUUUUCUUAUUUGUGUAUCAAUUAUUUUUGGUUUGCAGUUAUUCUGAUGUUUUGAUAUGAGUCUAUAUAUAUAUAUGAAUUUGUUUUAAGUUGUUGGUCUCUUAAUUGCAAGUGCAUCUCCAGUGUCCUGCAUUUGUACCCUCCUCUUCUCACGAUUUCUGAUUUUGGUGGCAUAAUUGUGUGUGGAUUAUUUCAUAUCUUUACUGUAUGUAUACCUUACUGGUGAACCGUGUAACUAUGAUUUUUAAUCGGAGACAAUUCAAGAUUGCUUAUAUGAUUGGGACUCACAUAUCUGUGCUCCUACAACCAUGGAACUUCUUAAGAUGGGCAUUUAGGAUCAUGAUACUGGUUUAUCAAAGAGCAAGCAAAGACUUCAAUUUCUUAAAAUGCAGUUAUACUUGUUAUUCAGACCUUUCAACAUUGAUAUGCAACAGUUAAAUAAAUAUAUCUUGAUGCUUAAAAGGCUUUUUAAAAAAUUAGUCUACAAAAGCAAUUUAGUUUUACUAAGUUUAUAAAACUCUCUAGUGUUUUGGGUUGUUCUCUUUUCUUGUUGUGUUUUCUGGACUGAAUAAGGAUCCUCUUCUAUUAUCCUAUCCAGAAGACUCUCUGUAGGGCUUCUCAGUGGAUGAGUUAUUGAGACUUGAAAGAGCAAAGGAAAGAUCAAGGGAGAGAGUUCCAGAGUCAUUUCUGGGGCACAAGUACAUGCUGAUGUCUCUAUACUCAGUUCAUCCCCACCAUCCCACCCCAUCCAGUGCCAAAGAAAAUGUUAUAUGUUUAUGAUGACAUGGUGGCAUUACCUAGAUUUUUCCUACCAGUCAAGUUUCAGAAAGAAUUAGUAGAUACCAUUUUAUUUAGUUAGGGGUAUUCUUUUUGAUGAGAACUUAUCAAGUUGGGAUCAAAGAAAUAAGCUUUAUAUAAGAUUAUUAGUAGUCCUGCUGAAAUUACAUGCUGUGUAUUGUGUGUAUAUUCUUUUUUACUAUGGAGAUCUUCAAUGGUUUUAUCAAUUUUUAAAUUAUCUUGAAGACAAAAGCUUUUAUCUAGCAUGGCUCUAUUAAUUAAAAACAGAUGUGAUUAAAGUGAAAAAUUUUGAAGGAUGUGUGGGGGUUUUAUAUAUACAUUUUUAUUAAUAUUUCAGGUGGUAUUGGCUGUGAAAUUUGCACCCUUGUGACUCUUUUUUAAUUAUAAAUGUUUUUAGGGGAAUAAAAACUUUUCAAAAGAGUUUUUUUUUUUUUUUUGGUACUUUUCCUUUCGUCAUUCCCUAAAACCUGAAAAAAUUAGAACCGUUCUUACUGAAAAUAAAAAAUGUAUAAAACUCCAUUCAUGUUUAUUUUAUAGUCAUUUUACACACCCUUACAUAGACUUCUAGUUAUUCCAUGACUAAGUGUACAUUUUUAAAAGAUACCUAUUAUUUUUUAUGUAUUCUGCCAAUAUUGGAACCUGUUGUAUGAAUAUUGAUCCCUGUUGCUUCCAGGGUUGUUUUUUUUGUUUUUUUUUUUUUUUUUUUUUUUUUUUUGUCUUUUCUCCUUUUUCUAGGGCUAUAUGGCAUAUGGAGGUUCCCAGGCUAGGGGUCUAAUCGGAGCUGUAGCCACCGGCCUAUGCCAGAGACACAGCAACGCGGGAUCUGAGCCGCGCCUGCAACCUACACCACAGCUCACAGCAACGUCGGAUCCUUAACCCACUGAGCAAUGCCAGGGAUUGAACCCACAACCUCAUGUUUCCUAGUCAGAUUUGUUAACCACUGAGCUACGAUGGGAACUCCGAUUUUUGUUUGUUUUUGAUCACAGCUAUAAGUAGAAAACCUAAUUCUGACCUGGUCAUAAUUUUUCUUUACCUUAGUUGGAAACUCUGUAAAGUAUUUGCUCUGCCUCCUGCAUAAUAUCUCUAUCCCUGAUCAUGUGGACAUUUCCUCCCAUCUCCAUUUACUCAUAAAGAUAUUAAUUCUUUGGUGUUCCAGAGACUUAUUUUAUUUUUGCUGAAUACUAUUACCAGAUUCUCAGUUAGCCUGUGUCCAUAUCAACUGAAUAACUACUUUUCUAUUUUUCAUUAAAUAUAUGAGUUUUAAAGGCAUAGCCCAGAUAUUUUGAUAAUUUUGGUGGUGAGGGAAAGGAGAGGUUAUCCUGGUUUCUAAUGAGCCUGAGAAGGAUUCCCAUGCCAGCUCAUGUGCAUCCCUUUUUGAUGGUGAAUGCGUUUUCCCCCUAGAAGAUAUCUGAAGCCCAAGAGCUAUAGUCGUUGCACCAGAAGUAUUUUUUUGCAAUUUUUUUCUUCUCUUAGUGAAUCAAUUUUCCAGAAGAAAAAGUUGAAAUUUGAUAAGAUCAAUGUGGAAAGCCAAAAGUUGCUCUGAGUUAUGAUGUUAUUUCUCAGCCAGAUGCUUGUCUCUUCUGCCCAGCUGCAGAAUUUCUCUGUACACAGGGGUCUCUUUAGUGCCAAGGGGGAUAAGCGAAAAGAGAUGAAAAUAUAUCUGCUGUUGCAUCGAUGACCCCACUCGCACUGUUUCCUGCAGCGAGUUUUCCUUAGAAUCCUCAGAGGAAUGCUUUGCCUAACCACCCAUCC
This 2917-nucleotide long non-coding RNA is filed under the name Sus scrofa (pig). RNAcentral describes it as "lncRNA (ENSSSCG00065034661.1)". Lineage: Eukaryota; Metazoa; Chordata; Mammalia; Artiodactyla; Suidae. The record is from RNAcentral.